This 399-nucleotide transfer-messenger RNA is filed under the name Flavobacteriaceae. RNAcentral describes it as "SHLJ01 sp013003555 Standard tmRNA". It matches the Rfam family "transfer-messenger RNA". Rfam says of the family: Bacterial tmRNA, also known as 10Sa RNA or SsrA, is named for its dual tRNA and mRNA-like properties. Its role is to liberate the mRNA from a stalled ribosome. RNAcentral also lists the same sequence under 1 other name. The record is from RNAcentral. Lineage: Bacteria; Pseudomonadati; Bacteroidota; Flavobacteriia; Flavobacteriales.
GGGGUCGACUGGUUUUGACAGCGAGUCGUAUUGAAUAGUAAGCAUGUCGCGUCAUGAUAUUGACACGCGUUAAAGGCGAUAUCAAAAUUUAAACGGCGAGAAUAACUACGCUUUAGCUGCUUAAUAAUCUGAAUUAUAGUAAGAUUAAAGCCUAGUCCUGCAAGGCAGGAAAGCUAAAUGUCUCUUGAAAGCCCUGGUAUACGGCGUUCUGAUUAGAGGCAUCGUAAAUGUAAACCUAGGAACAACGGGGCUUCUCUUUUGUUCCGAAAAUUAAGAAGCUAAGUCAUGUGUAUGCUGUUUACAGUGAGCACACGAUCGAAAACCAAUUGUAAACUAAACAUGUAGAAAUCUAUUUAGUAGCUUGUUUGGACGAGGGUUCGAAUCCCUCCGGCUCCACGA